This 957-nucleotide ribosomal RNA is filed under the name uncultured bacterium. RNAcentral describes it as "bacterial SSU rRNA". It matches the Rfam family "Bacterial small subunit ribosomal RNA", at positions 335 to 1298 of the family's 1533-position model. The record is from RNAcentral.
ACUCCUACGGGAGGCAGCAGUAGGGAAUCUUGCGCAAUGGACGAAAGUCUGACGCAGCAACUCCGCGUGGAGGAAGACGGUCUUCGGAUUGUAAACUCCUUUUAUCAGGGAAGAAAAAUAUCCAAAUUGACGGUACCUGAUGAAUAAGCAACGGCUAAAUACGUGCCAGCAGCCGCGGUAAUACGUAUGUUGCAAGCGUUACUCGGAAUCACUGGGCGUAAAGCGUACGAAGGCGGACUAAUAAGUCAGAGGUGAAAUUUUGGGGCUCAACCCUAAAACUGCCUUUGAAACUGUUGGUCUUGAGUAAUAGAGGGGAAGAUAGAAUUCUUGGUGUAGCGGUGGAAUGCGUAGAUAUCAAGAAGAAUACCGGUGGCGAAGGCGGUCUUCUGGCUAUAUACUGACGCUCAUGUACGAAAGCGUGGGGAGCGAACAGGAUUAGAUACCCUGGUAGUCCACGCCGUAAACGAUGGACACUCGUUGUCAGAUCCCUUGAGGAUUUGGUGACCAAGCUAACGCAUUAAGUGUCCCGCCUGGGGAGUACGUCCGCAAGGAUGAAACCCAAAGGAAUUGACGGGGGCCCGCACAAGCGGUGGAGCAUGUGCUUUAAUUCGAUGCAACGCGAAGAACCUUACCUGGUCUUGACAUACUACUGACCGCAUUAGAGAUAAUGUUUUUUCUUCGGAAACAGUAGAUACGGGUGCUGCAUGGUUGUCGUCAGCUCGUGUCGUGAGAUGUUGGGUUAAGUCCCGCAACGAGCGCAACCCUUGUCCUUAGUUGCCAGCACGUAAUGGUGGGAACUCUAGGGAGACUGCCUACGCAAGUANGANGAANGUGAGGAUGACGUCAAAUCAUCAUGGNCCUUACGACCAGGGCUAGACACGUGCUACAAUGGNNGGUACAAAGGGUUGCUAACUUGCGAAAGUGUGCUAAUCUCAAAAAACCGGUCUCAGUUCNGNU